AUUGAACGCUGGCGGCAGGCCUAACACUUGCAAGUCGAGCGGAUGAAGGGAGCUUGCUCCUGGAUUCAGCGGCGGACGGGUGAGUAAUGCCUAGGAAUCUGCCUGGUAGUGGGGGAUAACGUCCGGAAACGGGCGCUAAUACCGCAUACGUCCUGAGGGAGAAAGUGGGGGAUCUUCGGACCUCACGCUAUCAGAUGAGCCUAGGUCGGAUUAGCUAGUUGGUGGGGUAAAGGCCUACCAAGGCGACGAUCCGUAACUGGUCUGAGAGGAUGAUCAGUCACACUGGAACUGAGACACGGUCCAGACUCCUACGGGAGGCAGCAGUGGGGAAUAUUGGACAAUGGGCGAAAGCCUGAUCCAGCCAUGCCGCGUGUGUGAAGAAGGUCUUCGGAUUAUAAAGCACUUUAAGUUGGGAGGAAGGGCAGUAAGUUAAUACCUUGCUGUUUUGACGUUACCAACAGAAUAAGCACCGGCUAACUUCGUG
This 484-nucleotide ribosomal RNA is filed under the name uncultured bacterium. RNAcentral describes it as "partial 16S ribosomal RNA". It matches the Rfam family "Bacterial small subunit ribosomal RNA", at positions 30 to 507 of the family's 1533-position model. The record is from RNAcentral.